CUUGAACGACCAGAAAGAGAUUUGGACAAUAUAGCCAGUCUUACUAAAUUGGCGAACGAGUUACAACCGCCAGCGGACCAUGCAUCGAUUGCAUAUGCGGUGGCGAUGGCCAAAUGAAGUGUGAUCCCAAAGUCUGCACACCGGAGCCAAUGCUUCGUCAAAUGAUUGCAUCAGCGAAACGAAGAUAAAACAUUAACUAGGCAGUAUUUACUACAGGACAUUUACACAUCGCACACGUUUAUUUUAACCAAUUUUCAGAACAUAUAUGAAAUGAAAAUGCGCAUAAAUGAAACAAGCAAACAGCAAGAGCAAAAAAAUGGAAAUUAACACAAAAAAAAACACACACACACAUUUUAAAUGUAGCUCCUAGGUCUGAUUAGUCUGUAUAAAUAUAUGAAGCAAGUAUCUAGUAUCUAUUGAUCUGAAAUGAGAGUUAAACAAGAAAAAUAAAACAUACAUAAAGACGUAGCCCGUAGUUUGCCUAGGUCAUAAGGAUAAUUUUACGAAACAAAAAAGAAGAAAAAAUUAAAAUAAUUGAUGAAUGUGACACGCGUAAUGAUUAAAUUAAUAAAAGAAGAAGAAAAAACAACAGCAACAAAGUACGAUAUAAGCAUAAGAAGUAAUUCCAUUUGUUAAGUUAAGCGUAGAGAAAAGGCGAUACGUAUAUUAAAAAAAAAACAAAAAAACAAUUAAAAUAAAUUAAAAAUAAAAGCGAAAUUAAUAAAUAAUCUAUGAUUUAAGAGCGGAUUUAAAACAAUCAAUGAACAAAGCAAGAAUACUUCAAUUGAAAUUUCAUUUAGGUAAAACAAAUAAAAAAAACACUCGUGACAUGCCGUAACGAUAGCUAUUUCAUAAAUUAUGUCAUUUUAUAUUUAAAUGAAAAACGCAAAAAGUGAAAAAAAAACUAUUAAAAAGUAUUUAUUUGGAUAUUAAAAAAAAAGUAAA
This is a long non-coding RNA of Sitodiplosis mosellana (orange wheat blossom midge), 945 nucleotides long. RefSeq lists it as uncharacterized. The transcript has 2 exons. The record is from RefSeq and is a predicted model, not a curated record. NCBI's taxonomy places the organism in Eukaryota, Metazoa, Arthropoda, Insecta, Diptera, Cecidomyiidae.